Molecule: ribosomal RNA, 240 nt
Filed under: uncultured bacterium
Lineage: Bacteria
Description: partial 16S ribosomal RNA
Rfam family: Bacterial small subunit ribosomal RNA
Source: RNAcentral
GACGAACGCUGGCGGCGUGCUUAACACAUGCAAGUCGAGCGGUAAGGCCCUUUCGGGGUACGACGAGCGGCGAACGGGUGAGUAACACGUGGGUGACCUCGCCCUUACGCUCUGGGGAGUAAAGCCCGUCGGGAAACGUGGGUCUAAUACCGGAUAUGACUCCAUAACGCAUGUUGUGGGGUGGAAAGCCUUGUGCGGCUAGGAUGGCCCGCGCCUAUCAGCUUGUUGGUGGGGUGAUGG